RNAcentral lists this ribosomal RNA (239 nucleotides) under uncultured bacterium. RNAcentral describes it as "partial 16S ribosomal RNA". It matches the Rfam family "Bacterial small subunit ribosomal RNA", at positions 796 to 1037 of the family's 1533-position model. The record is from RNAcentral.
CACGCCGUAAACGAUGGAUACUAGCUGUCCGGGGCUUUAAGUCCUGGGCGGCCAAGCGAAAGUGAUAAGUAUCCCACCUGGGGAGUACGUUCGCAAGAAUGAAACUCAAAGGAAUUGACGGGGGCCCGCACAAGCGGUGGAGCAUGUGGUUUAAUUCGAUGAUACGCGAGGAACCUUACCAGGGCUUAAAUGCAUUUUGACAGGGGUAGAGAUACCUUUUCCUUCGGGCAAUUUGCAAG